RNAcentral lists this ribosomal RNA (465 nucleotides) under uncultured bacterium. Its description in RNAcentral is "partial 16S ribosomal RNA". It matches the Rfam family "Bacterial small subunit ribosomal RNA", at positions 28 to 507 of the family's 1533-position model. The record is from RNAcentral.
GACGAACGCUGGCGGCGUGCUUAACACAUGCAAGUCGAACGGAAAGGCCCCUUUGGGGGUACUCGAGUGGCGAACGGGGGUGUAACACGUGAGUAACCUUCCCUUGACUUCGGGAUAACUUCAGGAAACUGGGGCUAAUACCGGAGAGGAAUCCUUGCUGCAUGGUGGGGGUUGGAAAGCUUCGGCGGCUUUGGAUGGACUCUCUGCUUAUUAGCUUGUUGGUGGGGUAGUGGCCUACCAAGGCUUUGACGGGUAGCCGGCCUGAGAGGGGGACCGGCCACAUUGGGGCGGAGGAGCGGCCCAGACUCCUACGGGGGGCAGCAGUGGGGAAGAAUACACGAUGGGCGGGAGCCCGAUGCAGCAACGCCGCGGGCGGGAUGACGGACUUCGGGUUGUAAUACGGUUUCAGCAGGGGCGAAGCUUGUGGUGACGGUACCUGCAGAAGAAGCACCGGCUAACUACGUG